This 683-nucleotide long non-coding RNA is filed under the name Homo sapiens (human). Its description in RNAcentral is "HSALNT0400747". Lineage: Eukaryota; Metazoa; Chordata; Mammalia; Primates; Hominidae. The record is from RNAcentral.
UGGGAUUCUUACUGUAAAGGCAACCAGUUUAGCCACUGUGCUAUUCUGCCUACAUGCAAAUAAUGAAUGAACAGAGAGACACUCACACCUACAAACAGAAGCAAGAGGAACCUAAUACUCUUCCUCAUUGGCCUUCCUGUCUCCAUCUUUAUUCCUUCCAGCUCAUUCUCUACAUGACACUGUGAAUGCCAAACUGUCUGGAGGCUGCCAUGAGCGGCCAAUUUGUGAUCUCUGCUUUACCUGAAUUAUUUCCGUGAAUUGUGACAUCAACCUCGCCAGAUAAGAAAGAAGACUGAAGUUCAGAGAGGUGAAGGGACUGGCUCAGGGGCUACCCCUAUGGUUGCGGGAGCUAAGAUUCCAGCCCAGCAGCGUGAUCCAGAGCCCAUCUGAGCUACCCAGAUCUUCCUGCUGUUAAACCCGUCCUGGGGCAGCUCUUGCCUGAUGGGCUACCUGAGGAACCCACAGGAAAUCAAGGGAGGUGCCUGCAAAGUUGCCGUGGGGUCACAGCCUGCCCUUUGGAAGGGGCUGUUUCUGGGCUGCUGUGACUUCCUGCCAUUAUUUCCUCUCUGUUCUCCCUCUGGAAUGAAUAAAGUACUUCUGAAAAACCAUCAACCCAGUCGAUACGGAAAUGCUGGUCCCUACAAUAGAAUGCUCUGUGGUCAUUAAAAAGAUUAAAAAGGUCA